Molecule: ribosomal RNA, 683 nt
Filed under: uncultured Curvibacter sp.
Lineage: Bacteria; Pseudomonadati; Pseudomonadota; Betaproteobacteria; Burkholderiales; Comamonadaceae
Description: bacterial SSU rRNA
Rfam family: Bacterial small subunit ribosomal RNA
Source: RNAcentral
AGUGGCGAACGGGUGAGUAAAGUAUCGGAACGUGCCCAGUCGUGGGGGAUAACGUAGCGAAAGUUACGCUAAUACCGCAUACGAUCUAUGGAUGAAAGCGGGGGAUCGCAAGACCUCGCGCGAUUGGAGCGGCCGAUAUCAGAUUAGGUAGUUGGUGGGGUAAAGGCUCACCAAGCCGACGAUCUGUAGCUGGUCUGAGAGGACGACCAGCCACACUGGGACUGAGACACGGCCCAGACUCCUACGGGAGGCAGCAGUGGGGAAUUUUGGACAAUGGGCGCAAGCCUGAUCCAGCCAUGCCGCGUGCAGGAUGAAGGCCUUCGGGUUGUAAACUGCUUUUGUACGGAACGAAAAGGUUUGGCCUAAUAAGCUGAGCUCAUGACGGUACCGUAAGAAUAAGCACCGGCUAACUACGUGCCAGCAGCCGCGGUAAUACGUAGGGUGCGAGCGUUAAUCGGAAUUACUGGGCGUAAAGCGUGCGCAGGCGGUUAUGUAAGACAGAUGUGAAAUCCCCGGGCUCAACCUGGGAACUGCAUUAGUGACUGCAUAGCUGGAGUACGGCAGGGGGGGGGGAUGGAAUUCCGCGGUGUAGCAGUGAAAUGCGUAGAUAUGCGGGAGGAACACCGAAUGGCGAAAGGCAAUCCCCUGGGUCUGUACUGACGCUCAUGCACGAAAGCGUGGGG